CACACAGUAAACGAUGAAUACUCGCUGUUUGCGAUAUACAGUAAGCGGCCAAGCGAAAGCAUUAAGUAUUCCACCUGGGGAGUACGCCGGCAACGGUGAAACUCAAAGGAAUUGACGGGGGCCCGCACAAGCGGAGGAACAUGUGGUUUAAUUCGAUGAUACGCGAGGAACCUUACCCGGGCUUGAAUUGCAGAGGAAUAUAGUUGAAAAAUUAUCGCCGCAAGGUCUCUGUGAAGGUGC
Molecule: ribosomal RNA, 240 nt
Filed under: uncultured bacterium
Lineage: Bacteria
Description: partial 16S ribosomal RNA
Rfam family: Bacterial small subunit ribosomal RNA
Source: RNAcentral